CGGGGGCAACCCUGGUGGCGAGUGGCGAACGGGUGAGUAAUGCAUCGGAACGUGCCCAUCGGAUGGGGGAUAACUGCGCGAAAGCGUUGCUAAUACCGCAUACGACCUACGGGUGAAAGCAGGGGACCGCAAGGCCUUGCGUCGAUGGAGCGGCCGAUGCCGGAUUAGCUAGUUGGUGAGGUAAAGGCUCACCAAGGCGACGAUCCGUAGCUGGUCUGAGAGGACGACCCAGCCACACUGGGACUGAGACACGGCCCAGACUCCUACGGGAGGCAGCAGUGGGGAAUCUUGGACAAUGGGCGAAAGCCUGAUCCAGCAAUGCCGCGUGUGGGAAGAAGGCCUUCGGGUUGUAAACCACUUUUUGGCGGGAAAGAAAUGGUCUGUGCUAAUACCACGGAUUGAUGACGGUACCCGCAGAAUAAGCACCGGCUAACUACGUG
RNAcentral lists this ribosomal RNA (440 nucleotides) under uncultured bacterium. RNAcentral's name for it is "bacterial SSU rRNA". It matches the Rfam family "Bacterial small subunit ribosomal RNA", at positions 74 to 507 of the family's 1533-position model. The record is from RNAcentral.